GCCCUCCUAGCUCAAUUGGCAGAGCAGCUGACUCUUAAUCAGCGGGUUGUAGGUUCAAGUCCUACGGGGGGCA
Molecule: transfer RNA, 73 nt
Filed under: Planctomycetota bacterium
Lineage: Bacteria; Pseudomonadati; Planctomycetota
Also listed under: 1 other name
Description: tRNA-Lys
Rfam family: tRNA
About the family: Transfer RNA (tRNA) molecules are approximately 80 nucleotides in length.
Source: RNAcentral